GCCGAGGUAGCUCAGCUGGUAGAGCAGCUGAUUCGUAAUCAGCAGGUCGGCGGUUCGAAUCCGCUCCUCGGCUCCA
Molecule: transfer RNA, 76 nt
Filed under: Nitrospirota bacterium
Lineage: Bacteria; Pseudomonadati; Nitrospirota
Also listed under: 1 other name
Description: Nitrospirae bacterium tRNA-Thr
Rfam family: tRNA
About the family: Transfer RNA (tRNA) molecules are approximately 80 nucleotides in length. Their secondary structure includes four short double-helical elements and three loops (D, anti-codon, and T loops).
Source: RNAcentral